RNAcentral lists this ribosomal RNA (406 nucleotides) under uncultured bacterium. RNAcentral's name for it is "partial 16S ribosomal RNA". It matches the Rfam family "Bacterial small subunit ribosomal RNA", at positions 30 to 526 of the family's 1533-position model. The record is from RNAcentral.
AUCGAACGCUGGCGGCAGGCCUAACACAUGCAAGUCGAACGAGUGGCGGACGGGUGAGUAAUGUCUGGGCACCUGCCUGAUGGAGGGGGAUAACUACUGGAAACGGUAGAUACUACCGCAUACCACCAGUUCUGCUCAGGUGGGUGUAGCUUGGUGGUGGGGUAACGGCUCAUCAAGGCGACGAUCCCUAGCUGGUCUGAGAGGAUGACCGGCCACACUGGAACUGAGAAACGGCCCAGACUCCUACGGGAGGCAGCAGUAGGGAAUAUUGCACAAUUGGCGAAAGCCUGAUCGAGCCAUGCCGCGUGAAUGAAGAAGGCCUUCGGGUUGUAAAGUUCUUUUAGCAGGGAAGCGUUACCCACAGAGGAAGCACCGGCUAACUCCGUGCCAGCAGCCGCGGUAAUUC